Molecule: long non-coding RNA, 149 nt
Organism: Nematolebias whitei (Rio pearlfish)
Lineage: Eukaryota; Metazoa; Chordata; Actinopteri; Cyprinodontiformes; Rivulidae
Exons: 4
Source: RefSeq, a predicted model, not a curated record
CUUACUGGACUGAGAAGUUCUCUUGCUGAAGCUCCUCUGGUCCUCUCAGCCGUUUAGAACUGAGCUGGUUUCUGCAAAUAUGAUCCAUCAGUUGAGUCUUGCCUUUACUGCUUUUUUGCUGCUUGGUUACAUGGAACCAAGUCAUCAAG